GAAGAAGAGAAGAGAAAAAGAAAAAGAGAGGAAAGAGGACAAAGGAAAAGAAAAGGAAAAAAGGGAGAAGAACAGGGAAGAAAUAAAAGAAGAAAAAGACAAGAGGGGGAGAAGAAAGGAAAAUGAGAUUGAAGAAUGGGAGAGGGCAGGAAAGGAUAAGAAGACUAAGAGAAAGGAAAGGAAAGAAGGAGCGAAGGAAGGGAGGGGAAAGGAGAAAAAAGAGAAAAGAAAGGAGAGAAGAUGGUAGAAGGGGAGGAGAGGAGAAGGGAGGAAGGAAAGAAAAGAGGACAGGAGGCAUAAAAGGGAAUAGCACAAAAUCUGAGAAGAGGUGAUGAAAAAGGGCACAGUGAAGAGGAUAGGAAAGGAAGCUCAGAAGAAAAAGGACAAGAACAAAAAAAGAGGAAAGAUAAGGUGGAAGGAAACAGAAAAGACACAUAGAAGGUGAGGUGAAACAAAGUAGGAGGUGAGGAAGAGGAUUGUAAUGGGAAAGAGAAAAGAACAGAAGUACUGAGGGAGGUGAAAAGAAAACAGGAUAAAUGGAGGAACUGAGACCACAGAAAAAAAAGAAAAGAGGGAAGAGGAGAGGAGAAAACAAAAGAGGGAGAAAAAGAGAGAGAGAGAAAAGAAGAAUCUAUUUGUGAAUCUGUGUUCAAAGUGUUCACAGCAAACACUGAUUAUUCACCAAAUGAGCCUCUUGAUUAACAGAAAGGCCUGAUGGCUGUUUCACUGUGUGUGUGUGUGUGUGUGUGUGUGUGUGUGUGUCCACUGUUUAAUUAGAUCACAAGGAUGCCUGCUAAUUCUUUAGCACCCUCACAGUGUUUAUUAGACCAUCAAAAACUAGUGUUGCAUCAUCUCUGAAUAAAUGAACACACACAAAUACACACACUGUUGUAUGGUGAUCAAAGUGUGUGCGUUUGUGUGAAUGCUUGUGUGUGUGUCUGUAUGGGUGUAUGACUUGGAGGUCCAAGAUGAGAAAACACAACAACUGAAAACACAGUCCUUCUUCCUGAGGACAGAACUAUGCAAGGUAAAGCACAAACGCACACACCAGUAAAUGUAAAUAAACAAAAGAGACAACAGGAACACACUUCAUCCUGACAUGUUCAGUUGAACAAUACACCAUUACUUUUGUGUUGCACACACACACACACACACACACAUGCACGCACGCACAGGAGCAGCGUGAGAGCCUGAGGUCACUCGUCCUUUCAGCGCCGCUGUCAGAAAACACCACAACAAUCUGCUUUCAUAUCAAUCACAAAAAUGGAUGCUCUCUUGUGUGCCACUCACACAUUUGCACACACUUGCUUACACACAGACACACACUUCUUGACUGUAUUAUCCAGAUCUGGAGAGUAAAACUCAGUAAACCCGCUAACAAUGAAAGACUGUGCCUCUGCGUUUAGUCUGGUUGAAAGUUUCGAUAGAAAACAGCUCUGAUGAAACUCUCUGAAACUCUUUGAUGUUUUGUAAUGCGGGUAUUUAGCCCCUGUUUUAAAACAUCUAUCCACUGGAUCUAACACUAAUGAAACUCCUCAGGCUGGGGGAAAGUAAGUCACAGGCACAGCUGUAUUGUACAUUUCAUCACUAUGAAUCCAGUGUCAGAAUUUUAAAAUGCAGGUCAGUGUGUGUUCACGUUUGUACUGGAGUGAGGGUUUGGGGGUCAGGGAAAAGAGAGUUGAAAAUGGGUGAUGAGCUCUCUUUAUAGCAGGGUGUAAAAAACCCUAAAAUAUUUACAUCCAACCCUUGAAUAUUUGUAAAAUUAGGGUGACCAUAUUCUGAAUCGCCAAAAAGAGGACAUGACUACGCAGUGGAGCGUAGUUAAUUUUGAGAGUUUUUCGGGUUGGAUUGAGCGUUUUUUACUCGCUUCUAACUCAGUAAGUCCAUGUGACACAAACUCAAAACUUCCAUACAAAACCCCGGACAUUUAAAGGAUUUUAUAAACUCCCCCCAAAAAGAGGACAUGUCUGCCUAAAAGAGGAUGCAUGGUCACCCUAGUAAAAUAUCUUACUUGAAAAGAGUCUCUCAACCUCAUCUCUGUAAACCUAACAAUUUGGGGAAUCCAUCAAUUAUCCAAUUAUCCAAAUCAGCAAAAAUUCAAAGAAUAUUAAAGGUAAAUUGGGUUGAAAUGAAAUUGAGUGUUAUCAAUGAUGCUCCCAUGCUCAACUCUCUCAUUGAUUAAGUGGUGGUGGCCAAGCAAUUUCCAAUAUCUGGUGAUAACUCUCUUAUUUAAGCACUUCUAAGUAUUGUAUUCCAUUUCUAACAGGUUCAUCAUUACGCACUGCACCUUUAAUGCUCAGUAUGGAGAAGACAAGCAGCCGGGUUAAAUCUUCGAGGGACAGUUAUCUUGCUCUUAAAAUGACAUCUCAGCUCUCGUGGCCUUUUUUCCUCUUUCAUGUCUGCAGAAAGGACAGAGUCGGUGAUGUGACGCCCUGUCCUGAGUGUGAGUGGAGACAGACUGAAAACCCCAAUUAAAACCUCAGAUUCUCCAUUUUUCUUUUGUUUUAUUUGAUCGCCCCCUUAAACUCCAUUUCUGUCUCCGUUCUCUCGUUUUAUCCUCCAUGCUUUUAUGCCUCCUUUCUCUUUCUCUCUUUUUCCUUUAUCUCAGAUUUCUUAGCCUCUCGCUGUCCCUCCUACUCACUCUUUACAUUUUCUCAUGUUACACCCUGCAUGUCUGUCUUUGUCACCCCUCUCACCUCCCCUCUGUCAUCGGAUCAGUAGAAUUAAUGGCUUUAUUUCCAUAGAAUCGUCAUGGUGAUGAAUCAUGUCGUUAAUCAUCAUAUCGCCAGGGUGACAGAUCAUGUCAUUAAUCAGGAUUUUUUUUUUCUUUGCUAAAGCAGCAUGUUAAAGAACGCAAACCACACGAUGGUGAUUAGCAAUUAACACAACUCUCUCCAUCACACAAAUACACACACACACACACACACACACACACACACACACACACACACACACACACACACACACACACACAAAUACACACACACUCAUGAGGCACCCUGCAGAGUUGGAGCAGAGCCAAGCGACUGUGUGAAUUCAUCUCUGUAAGCUUAAUCAAACCGUCACGUGUUAGAUGAAAGCACACACACAAGCAUGAAAGUCCAUGUUACACACACAAUGUGACUCCACACACUGUUUUCACAGAGAAAUCAACAUGUCGAGUUACACAAUGUCUUGAAACUCAUUCAUUUUUCCAACAUUAAAACUUAGUCCGCAUUAUUACCUAACGUACUGGCUUCAUGAAUUUGCAUGAAAUAAAAUAAUAGAUAUAAAAUAAUAAAGUAUAGCUGGCUCUACAAAAUUCGCAUAUACUUGGUUUGUGAGAUAUUCUUAACUGUGGGUUUUUGAGCUGGAUCCAUAGACUGUAUAUACUAUGGACAACUUGGUUCCGCCUUCCGCCAGUAGACGAAUUUGAAGCCAAGAAGCUCUCUGUAAUUCCGCGUUUUUGCUCCACGUCCUGAAACCAACAUUGCGCAGUAGCGUUGUACGCAUUCGGUGGGAGAGUCGCAGAGAGUCACUGUGAUGACGCUUGGCUCAAACAGUGUAUCCCCGGGGUGAGCUACGCAAUCUUCGUACACCCAUAGGCUGUAUCAAGUGUCAAUCACAGAAAACAUGAACCCCAUAAUGACUUUUAAAAACAGAGCUGUACAGAAAAAAGAGGACUUGAACACAAACCAGUCUUACUAUAACUACAUGUCAACAUCGCAACCAGGGGGAGAAAAACAUUAUAUUCUGUGUAAUAAAUUACUAAAAUUUGUCCACAUCUCCAUAAGCUUUGCUGGCAGAAGCGGGAUUUAUGACCUAUACUGCAGCCCGUCAACAGAGGGUGCUGUUCUCGGAUUGGCUUCACCCAGUGAAGAGGCAGACUUUGUCCAUUCUAUAUACAGUCUAUGGCUGGAUCGGACAAGGGAGGAUAUCUUACAAGAUUCAUCCAACCCUGACCAAGCCCACGAUAAAGCGAGACUCAGUUGUUUGGUUGACCCAGAUCAGUUUUAUGAACUCACGAGUCAGCAGAGUCAUUAUAGAGCAUUGUUGCCCUCCUGCUGUUAGACACUGGGCAAACACCUCCCUGUAAUUGCCCCUGACUCAUCGGGGAUGACCCAAUCGUUAUGAGACCUGUUUGAUAUUUUCAUCAGACGCCCUCUGAUGUGAGCAAGUGAACAAGAUGAGUUGUCACUCUGAUCGACCUGAGCGAGGAAAUUAGACUGGACAUCCAGGGACAAAAUUAUGUCUCCUGGGCGGCUGGAUUUACAAGGUCUCCUCAGGUGCACUCUCGCAAGGUUUCUGCGAACACUCAAGAUGAUGUGUGUGUUUCCUCGUAAAAAAGUAUCCCCCAGUUGACUUUGAUACCCUCUUUGAAUCUGUUCAUCUCCUCUAUUUGUCCCAAACUUCUUCUAGGUCUUAUUUCACAUCCAAAUGCUGGCUAAAAUUAUAACAACAAGCUGCCCUGUGCGCGCACACACACACACGUGUCUGACAAAAGCACACACAAAUACACAUUGAGAGGCUUUUUUUCCCUGAAUGAUCUCAGAUGAAUUUCAUCUGAGAUCAUUGCUUCAUUAGUGAAGCUCUAGUUGUUCAGAUUGAUUUAAUUAUCAAAUCAUCUACGCAUUCUGUGUGUGUGUGUGUGUGUGUGUGUGUGUGUGUGUGUGUGUGUGUGUGUGUGUGUGUGUGUGUGUGUGUGUAUGUGUGUGUGUGUGUGUGCAUGGGAGAGAGACAGGGAGAGAUUAUGCAGUGAUCUUGGCUGACAUUGAUCAGCCUAGUCUAAUUGGGAGCAUCUAGCCGUGUAAUUGAUUCUGCUACACUUCACAACUAGAUGAGUUUAGCAACAUCAACAACACUGAUUCACGCUGAUGAACAGAACUACACUGAACCGCACUGAUCGGAGCCAAACUGAACUGAACCAAACUAAACUGAGUUAACCUGACUGACAGAAACAAACAACUGUAACCAGAUCUGAUAAUGUUGCUGCUUGUGUUAAUUUACCUCUAUGACCAUCCUGCGCUGGUACAGAUGAGUUAAUGCAAAUACAUGUUCAUACGCGUACGUUCAUACGUUCUGGUAUAUUGUUGAUCACAUGGAAACACUUUUUUACUUGUAUGUUUUUACUUUACAAAGUUUGAGGCACAUCUGCAGCUCUGGGUUAGCAUCUCCUCAUUUCAAUAGUUAUGUAUGCCUCAACCAACAAUGCAAAACAGCCUAUCUAAAACCAUCAUUGAUACUUACACCAUACCAUAGACUAAGUGAAAGAGUCUCCGACUGGCUGGAGGAGGUACAUUAGUUUUGGAGAACUGUAUAGCAAGUGGUAAAAAGUGGAAUUAGUCACUGAACCUUACCUGUCUUGAUUUUACAUGAAUGGCCAAACCAGGGGCGCCAAGUCCAGCUUAACAGAGUCUAUAAAAAGUGUAGUGUAGAGAAUGAUGCUGGAUUUGUAUUGGUCUUAUUUAGAGUAAAUUCAUGCUUUAAAACACUGGUGUUGUUUAUGAUUGGUGGGUGGCCCAAUAGCCAAGCCC
Xyrichtys novacula (pearly razorfish) is the source of this 5513-nucleotide non-coding RNA. The record is from the annotation of a GenBank genome assembly. Lineage: Eukaryota; Metazoa; Chordata; Actinopteri; Labriformes; Labridae.